AAUAGAUACCCGGGUAGUCCACGCCGUAAACGAUGAGUGCUAAGUGUUGGGGGGUUUCCGCCCUUUAGUGCGUGCAGCUAACGCAUUAAGCACUCCGCCUGGGGAGUACGGUCGCAAGACUGAAACUCAAAGGAAUUGACGGGGGGCCCGCACAAGCGGUGGAGCAUGUGGUUUAAUUCGAAGCAACGCGAAGAACCUUACCAGGUCUUGACAUCCUCUGACAACUCUAGAGAUAGAGCGUUCCCCUUCGGGGGACAGAGUGACAGGUGGUGCAUGGUUGUCGUCAGCUCGUGUCGUGAGAUGUUGGGUUAAGUCCCGCAACGAGCACAACCCUUGAUCUUAGUUGCCAGCAUUUAGUUGGGCACUCUAAGGUGACUGCCGGUGACAAACCGGAGGAAGGUGGGGAUGACGUCAAAUCAUCAUGCCCCUUAUGACCUGGGCUACACACGUGCUACAAUGGAUGGUACAAAGGGCUGCAAGACCGCGAGGUCAAGCCAAUCCCAUAAAAACCAUUCUCAGUUCGGAUUGUAGGCUGA
Molecule: ribosomal RNA, 536 nt
Filed under: uncultured bacterium
Lineage: Bacteria
Description: bacterial SSU rRNA
Rfam family: Bacterial small subunit ribosomal RNA
Source: RNAcentral